AGUGCUCGUCGCCCGGCAGGCGUAAUACAUGCAGUCGAGCGGACUUUCGGGGUCAGCGGCGGACGGGUGAGUAACGCGUGGGAAUAUGCCCUUCUCUACGGAAUAGUCCUGGGAAACUGGGGGUAAUACCGUAUACGCCCUUUGGGGGAAAGAUUUAUCGGGGAAGGAUUAGCCCGCGUUGGAUUAGGUAGUUGGUGGGGUAAUGGCCUACCAAGCCGACGAUCCAUAGCUGGUUUGAGAGGAUGAUCAGCCACACUGGGACUGAGACACGGCCCAGACUCCUACGGGAGGCAGCAGUGGGGAAUCUUAGACAAUGGGGGCAACCCUGAUCUAGCCAUGCCGCGUGAGUGAUGAAGGCCUUAGGGUUGUAAAGCUCUUUCAGCUGGGAAGAUAAUGACGGUACCAGCAGAAGAAGCCCCGGCUAACUCCGUGCCAGCAGCCGCGUUAAUACCUAAGGUA
RNAcentral lists this ribosomal RNA (459 nucleotides) under Paracoccus sp. 1924BAB. RNAcentral describes it as "bacterial SSU rRNA". It matches the Rfam family "Bacterial small subunit ribosomal RNA", at positions 39 to 534 of the family's 1533-position model. The record is from RNAcentral. Lineage: Bacteria; Pseudomonadati; Pseudomonadota; Alphaproteobacteria; Rhodobacterales; Paracoccaceae.